UGGAUUCGGUUUGAAGUUGCCAUGUGAAACUUGUCAGAAUCAACUUGAAAGGAGUUGGCGUCUUCCGCUGAUGGAAUUGGCCAGGAUCCGACUGUUUUCCCAAACUUCUUGACUCUGCUCCAAAUCGGAACUAGGCAACUUGCUUCUUGUCGAGUAUAUUUAUUUUGAAGAUGAGGUCCUUCAAGCUUGCCUGAUGAUCUCGACGAUGAUCCCUACCUGGCGCGUCAGCUGUCGGUGUUUUAUACUCCGCAACCAAUCAAGGGAGUACCCGAGGUAGUUGAUUUGUCGGUGGGGGAUUGCCAGACCUGGAACUCGAAGGUAAAAGUAAAGACACAAGACACAGAUUUAUACAGAUUUGGGUCGUCGGAGUAGCAUAAUACCCUACGUGCUGUUUGGGGUGUUGUGUAUUGCGCCCUGCGCUUGGGUGUUGAGUAGCCUAGUUGUUGGCUAUUGAUCAUGGUUCUGCCGAUCUAGGUACCCUCAUCCUCCUUUAUAUACUCCAGGGGGCGGGAUAACUAGUCAGUUACAAGGAGGAGUCCUAGUAGGAUUACAUGGGAUGAGUCCUAGUAAGAUUACAAGGGAAUCCUAGUAGGAGUCCGACUUCUUCCUUCUUUUCGGGUAUUGGGGAUCUAUCCCCGACAUCGGCCACAUGUCAUCUUCAGAUGGUACUCUUCUUUCCUGCCUCCCUCCCUCUCACUCCUCCAUUACUGUCGGUAACGAUCACACCCUUCCCGUCACGUGCCGUGGCAACUCCACCCUCACCACCCCCAC
RNAcentral lists this long non-coding RNA (771 nucleotides) under Setaria viridis. RNAcentral's name for it is "long non-coding RNA (SVIR_LNC006478)". Lineage: Eukaryota; Viridiplantae; Streptophyta; Magnoliopsida; Poales; Poaceae. The record is from RNAcentral.